Molecule: long non-coding RNA, 517 nt
Filed under: Capsicum annuum
Lineage: Eukaryota; Viridiplantae; Streptophyta; Magnoliopsida; Solanales; Solanaceae
Description: long non-coding RNA (CANN_LNC011792)
Source: RNAcentral
CUACUAUCUUCAUUAAUACAUGUAUCUUCAUUUCAUGUUAAGGCUCUUUUUAAGAAUAACUUUUCUUUGUUAUAUGUUAAGGUUAAUUGUGUAUGUUCUAUAUUAUAUGGUUUUACUUGUUCUAACCAUUUUAUUCCUAAUAUUAUAUCUGCUUUUUGCAUUUCUUCCUUUACUUCGAAUUCUAUUUUUAUUUUUCUAACUCCUAUUAUUAUUUCUUUUUUUGCUAUAUUUUUAUUAUUUAUUAAACUUCUUGGUAGAUCUGGGCACAUAUCAUUAUCAGUCUUUAUUUCUUCAUUUUUUACUAGAUAUUUUGCUAUAUAAUUUUCUUCUUGUCCUGUAUUCAAAAGUAUUAGAUAUUCUUUUUCAUUUAUUUUUUCUGUUAUGUAAUAGUGGUUUAAAUUACUUAUUGAAUUUAUUUCAUAACUUGUUCUUUUUGAUGAGCUUGAUGAUUCUGGUUUUUCAUCAGCUAUUCUUUUCGUUGUACUUAUUCUAUCAUUUACUAUUUCUAAAUUUUCUU